AUGUCCAAGUACAUACCGAGAAACGGUAAAACCGCGAAUGGCUCAUUACAACAGCGAGAGUUUACUAGAUGAAACUCUUAAAUGGAUAACUGUGGAAAAGCUAGAGCUAAUACAUGCAAAAAGCUUUGACCUUUAAAGGAAGAAGCGCAUUUAUUAGAACAAAACCAAACGGACUUGUCCGUAAAUUGGUGACUCUGAAUAACUAUGGUGAUCGCAUGGUCAUAGAACCAGCGACAUAUCUUUCAAAUAUCUGCCUUAUCAACUUUCGAUGGUAGUUUAUGCGCCUACCAUGGUUGUAACGGGUAACGAAGAAUCAGGGUUUGAUUUCGGAGAGGGAGCCUGAGAAAUGGCUACCACAUCCAAGGAAGGCAGCAGGCACGCAAAUUACCCACUCCUAGAGCAGGGAGGUAGUGACGAAACAUGACGAGGUGAUUCUCUAUGAGUUUCGCCAUCGGAAUGAGUGCAAUUUAAAUCCUUUAACAAGGAUCUAUUGGAGGGCAAGUCUGGUGCCAGCAGCCGCGGUAAUUCCAGCUCUAAUAGCGUAUAUUAAUGCUGUUGCGUUUAAAAAGCUCGUAGUUGGAUCUGCGACCAAGGUUAGCGGUCUGCCAAAUGGUGUGAACUGCUAUUCCUGGUUUUUUGUUUAGCUUUCCAUUGAUGCUCUUAAUUGGGUGUCUUUGGUGGCUAGAGAGUUUACUUUGAAAAAACUAGAGUGCUUAAAGCAGGCUUAUAGCCUGAAUAUUGUUGCAUGGAAUAAUGGAAAAGGACCUCGGUUCUAUUUUGUUGGUCGUUAGAGCACGAGGUAAUGAUUAACAGGGACAGACGGGGGCAUUCGUAUUGUGGCGCUAGAGGUGAAAUUCUUGGACCGCUGCAAGACGAACUACUGCGAAAGCAUUUGCCAAGAAUGUUUUCAUUAAUCAAGAACGAAAGUUAGAGGUUCGAAGGCGAUCAGAUACCGCCCUAGUUCUAACCGUAAACGAUGCCAACUUGCGAUCCGCAGGAGUUAAUAUAAUGACUCUGCGGGCAGCAUCCGGGAAACCAAAGUUUUUGGGUUCCGGGGGAAGUAUGGUUGCAAAGCUGAAACUUAAAGGAAUUGACGGAAGGGCACCACCAGGAGUGGAGCCUGCGGCUUAAUUUGACUCAACGCGGGAUAACUUACCCGGCCAAGACACUAUAAGGAUUGACAGACUAAUAGCUCUUUCUUAAUUUGGUGAAUGGUGGUGCACGGCCGUUCUUAGUUGGUGGAGCGAUUUGUCUGGUUAAUUCCGAUAACGAACGAGACUCUAACCUACUAAAUAGACCAUAUAUUUGGUUGUAUGUGGUGCUUCUUAGAGGAACAAGGAAUUUACAAUUCCACGAAACAGAGCAAUAACAGGUCUGUGAUGCCCUUAGAUGGUCGGGGCUGCACGCGCGCUACAAUGAAGGAGAAAGCAUGUAUCAAACCUUGAUCUGAAAAGAUUGAGUAACCAUUUGAAACUCCUUCGCGCUUGGAAUAGGGAAUUGCAACUAUUUCCCUUGAACGAGGAAUUCCUUGUAAGUGCGGGUCAGUAUCUCGCGUUGAAUACGUCCCUGCCCUUUGUACACACCGCCCGUCGCUACUACCGACUGGAUGAUUUAGUGAGAAGUUUGGACUUGUAUUGGUGUUACCGAAAGGUUGCACCGGUUGCGGGGAAGAACAGCGAACUAAAGCAUUUGGAGGAAGU
This 1700-nucleotide ribosomal RNA is filed under the name Litinium pirum. Its description in RNAcentral is "SSU rRNA". It matches the Rfam family "Eukaryotic small subunit ribosomal RNA". The record is from RNAcentral. Lineage: Eukaryota; Metazoa; Nematoda; Enoplea; Enoplida; Oxystominidae.